This 442-nucleotide ribosomal RNA is filed under the name uncultured bacterium. RNAcentral's name for it is "partial 16S ribosomal RNA". It matches the Rfam family "Bacterial small subunit ribosomal RNA", at positions 338 to 795 of the family's 1533-position model. The record is from RNAcentral.
CCUACGGGGUGCUGCAGUGGGGAAUAUUGGGCAAUGGGCGAAAGCCUGACCCAGCAACGCCGCGUGAAGGAAGAAGGCUUUCGGGUUGUAAACUUCUUUUGACAGGGAAGAGCAGAAGACGGUACCUGUCGAAUAAGCCACGGCUAAAUACGUGCCAGCAGCCGCGGUAAUACGUAGGUGGCAAGCGUUGUCCGGAUUUACUGGGUGUAAAGGGCGUGUAGCCGGGCUGACAAGUCAGAUGUGAAAUCCGGGGGCUCAACCCCCGAACUGCAUUUGAAACUGUUGGUCUUGAGUAUCGGAGAGGCAGGCGGAAUUCCUAGUGUAGCGGUGAAAUGCGUAGAUAUCACGCAGAACUCCGAUUGCGAAGGCAGCAUACCGGCGCCCAACUGACGCUGAAGCACGAAAGCGUGGGUAUCGAACAGGAUUAGAUACCCUUGUAGUC